Molecule: ribosomal RNA, 405 nt
Filed under: uncultured bacterium
Lineage: Bacteria
Description: partial 16S ribosomal RNA
Rfam family: Bacterial small subunit ribosomal RNA
Source: RNAcentral
GACGAACGCUGGCGGCGUGCCUAAUACAUGCAAGUCGAACGAGUUGCGUACUGUUGAGUAACCCGUGUGUGAUCUGCCUUUCACUCUGGGAUAAGCUUGGGAAACUGGGUUUAAUACCGGAUAGUGCAAGAUGAGUUCGCGGCGUAUCAGCUUGUUGGUGGGGUAAUGGCUACCAAGGCGCGACGGGUAGCCGGCCUGAGAGGAUGUACGGCCACAUUGGGACUGAGACACGGCCCAGACUCCUACGGGAGGCAGCAGUGGGGAAUAUUGCACAAUGGGCGGAAGCCUGAUGCAGCGACGCCGCGUGGGGGAUGACGGCCUUCGGGUUGUAAAGUACUUUCAGCGAGGAGGCGUUACUCGCAGAAGAAGCACCGGCUAACUCCGUGCCAGCAGCCGCGGUAAUUC